Molecule: ribosomal RNA, 506 nt
Filed under: uncultured bacterium
Lineage: Bacteria
Description: partial 16S ribosomal RNA
Rfam family: Bacterial small subunit ribosomal RNA
Source: RNAcentral
AUUGAACGCUGGCGGCAGGCCUAACACAUGCAAGUCGGACGGUAGCACAGAGGAGCUUGCUCCUUGGGUGACGAGUGGCGGACGGGUGAGUAAUGUCUGGGGAUCUGCCCGAUAGAGGGGGAUAACCACUGGAAACGGUGGCUAAUACCGCAUAACGUCGCAAGACCAAAGAGGGGGACCUUCGGGCCUCUCACUAUCGGAUGAACCCAGAUGGGAUUAGCUAGUAGGCGGGGUAAUGGCCCACCUAGGCGACGAUCCCUAGCUGGUCUGAGAGGAUGACCAGCCACACUGGAACUGAGACACAGUCCAGACUCCUACGGGAGGCAGCAGUGGGGAAUACUGCACAAUGGGCGCAAGCCUGAUGCAGCCAUGCCGCGUGUAUGAAGAAGGCCUUCGGGUUGUAAAGUACUUUCAGCGGGGAGGAAGGCGGUGAGGUUAAUAACCUUGCCGAUUGACGUUACCCGCAGAAGAAGCACCGGCUAACUCCGUGCCAGCAGCCGCAGUAA